CCUACGGGUGGCUGCAGUGGGGAAUAUUGCACAAUGGGCGCAAGCCUGAUGCAGCCAUGCCGCGUGUGUGAAGAAGGCCUUCGGGUUGUAAAGCACUUUCAGCGGGGAGGAGGGCGUUAAGGUUAAUAACCUUGGCGAUUGACGUUACCCGCAGAAGAAGCACCGGCUAACUCCGUGCCAGCAGCCGCGGUAAUACGGAGGGUGCAAGCGUUAAUCGGAAUUACUGGGCGUAAAGCGCACGCAGGCGGUCUGUCAAGUCGGAUGUGAAAUCCCCGGGCUCAACCUGGGAACUGCAUUCGAAACUGGCAGGCUAGAGUCUUGUAGAGGGGGGUAGAAUUCCAGGUGUAGCGGUGAAAUGCGUAGAGAUCUGGAGGAAUACCGGUGGCGAAGGCGGCCCCCUGGACAAAGACUGACGCUCAGGUGCGAAAGCGUGGGGAGCAAACAGGAUUAGAUACCCGUGUAGUC
Molecule: ribosomal RNA, 465 nt
Filed under: uncultured Klebsiella sp.
Lineage: Bacteria; Pseudomonadati; Pseudomonadota; Gammaproteobacteria; Enterobacterales; Enterobacteriaceae
Description: bacterial SSU rRNA
Rfam family: Bacterial small subunit ribosomal RNA
Source: RNAcentral